GUUGAUUCGGUGAUAAUUCAAGUUGAAUAUUGAGGAAGCAUUCCAGUUCCUCCAACUUUUAAUAGUUCAUAUCUUCAAAACGAUGAGAUGUAAAAAAAUAUUUGCGAUUCCUCGUGGACCAUUUUCGGACUGAAAUCUACAAUGGAGCAAAAUUAUUGUGCUUAUCUGGUCCUUAUUUUGGGAUGUAUUUGGAGCAUGAAAUUAGCGAACUGGGAAGCUUCAUCUAUAAAAAUCCAUCAGUUGUCAUGGGUAGCUCCACUUCAUCUAUAGCUAGCAAAAGACUUCUUUUUGCUCCAUUACUCUUUGGACUCGAGAGGACUUUUAUGACCAUGACUUUUUGGUUUGAUAUAUCUUAUAAUGGUGGUGCUUCUUCUCUCCAAAUCAAUGCCUACUACAAUACUUGCCCUGAAGUUGAAAGAAUCAUUUAUUCAAAGGUCCAC
Molecule: long non-coding RNA, 440 nt
Organism: Papaver somniferum (opium poppy)
Lineage: Eukaryota; Viridiplantae; Streptophyta; Magnoliopsida; Ranunculales; Papaveraceae
Exons: 4
Source: RefSeq, a predicted model, not a curated record